AGAGUUUGAUCCUGGCUCAGGAUGAACGCUAGCGGCAGGCCUAAUACAUGCAAGUCGAACGUCAUUUUUGACUUCGGUUAAAAAUGAGUGGCGAACGGGUGAGUAACACGUAUGCAACCUACCCCUUACCGGGGAAUAGCUUCGAGAAAUCGAAAUUAAUACCCCAUAAUAUUUAACUUGGGCAUCCUUGUUAAAUUAAAGUUCCGGCAGUAAGGGAUGGGCAUGCGGCCCAUUAGCUUGUUGGUGAAGGUAACGGCUCACCAAGGCAACGAUGGGUAGCUGGUCUGAGAGGAUGAUCAGCCACACUGGCACUGAGACACGGGCCAGACUCCUACGGGAGGCAGCAGUAGGGAAUAUUGGUCAAUGGACGAAAGUCUGAACCAGCCAUGCCGCGUGCAGGAUGACGGAUCUAUGAUUUGUAAACUGCUUUUAUUCGGGAAGAACAGCAAGUAUUCUUAUUUGUCUGACGGUACCGAUUGAAUAAGCACCGGCUAACUCCGUGCCAGCAGCCGCGGUAAUACGGAGGGCGCAAGCGUUACUCGGAAUCACUGGGCGUAAAGAGCGUGUAGGCGGGUAUUUAAGUUGGAAGUGAAAUCCUAUGGCUCAACCAUAGAACUGCUUCCAAAACUGAAUACCUAGAAUAUGGGAGAGGUAGAUGGAAUUUCUGGUGUAGGGGUAAAAUCCGUAGAGAUCAGAAGGAAUACCGAUUGCGAAGGCGAUCUACUGGAACAUUAUUGACGCUGAGACGCGAAAGCGUGGGGAGCAAACAGGAUUAGAUACCCUGGUAGUCCACGCCCUAAACGAUGUACAUUAGUUGUUGCGAUGCUAGACAUUGCAGUAAUGCAGUUAACACAUUAAAUGUACCGCCUGGGGAGUACGGUCGCAAGAUUAAAACUCAAAGGAAUAGACGGGGACCCGCACAAGCGGUGGAGCAUGUGGUUUAAUUCGACGAUACGCGAAGAACCUUACCUGGCCUUGACAUAGAAAGAAUUUAGCAGAGAUGUAAAAGUGCUAGUUUACUAGAGCUUUCAUACAGGUGCUGCACGGCUGUCGUCAGCUCGUGUCGUGAGAUGUUAGGUUAAGUCCUGCAACGAGCGCAACCCUCGUGUUUAGUUACUAACAGUUCGGCUGAGGACUCUAGACAUACUGCCUGGGCAACCAGGAGGAAGGUGAGGACGACGUCAAGUCAUCAUGGCCCUUACGGCCAGGGCUACACACGUGCUACAAUGGGGUAUACAAAGAGCCGCAAUACCGCGAGGUGGAGCAAAUCUCAUAAAAUAUCUCCCAGUUCGGAUUACACUCUGCAACUCGAGUGUAUGAAGUUGGAAUCGCUAGUAAUCGUAGAUCAGCAAUGCUACGGUGAAUACGUUCCCGGGUCUUGUACUCACCGCCCGUCACACCAUGGGAGUUGAAUUCAUUCGAAGCGGGGAUGCUAAAAUAGCUACCUUCCACAGUGGAUUUAGUAACUAGGGUGAAGUCGUAACAAGGUAACC
RNAcentral lists this ribosomal RNA (1493 nucleotides) under uncultured bacterium. Its description in RNAcentral is "bacterial SSU rRNA". It matches the Rfam family "Bacterial small subunit ribosomal RNA". The record is from RNAcentral.